Molecule: long non-coding RNA, 236 nt
Filed under: Elaeis guineensis (African oil palm)
Lineage: Eukaryota; Viridiplantae; Streptophyta; Magnoliopsida; Arecales; Arecaceae
Description: long non-coding RNA (EGUI_LNC061015)
Source: RNAcentral
UGUGCAGGGUAUUCUGGAUAUACUGAAGUGUGUAUGGAGGUUGUGAGUAGGUCAACAUACAAUCGAUCACUCCUAGUAAGAGGAGAUCGCAUCCUGUGUAUUUUUAAUCCUAGAUGACUCAAAAAGAAUCUUUUGACCAAAAGCAGAAAGAAGAUUAGAAAGAAUUUUUAAUGCUUCUUCAUUGGAGUCAUCAUUGGUUAAUUAAAAAUCGAUAUAUAUAUGUGUUUGAGUUUGAC